This 1405-nucleotide long non-coding RNA is filed under the name Citrus sinensis (sweet orange). RNAcentral describes it as "long non-coding RNA (CSIN_LNC004832)". The record is from RNAcentral. Lineage: Eukaryota; Viridiplantae; Streptophyta; Magnoliopsida; Sapindales; Rutaceae.
UUUGGAAUAUGGCCUGAGAAUGAGUUAAAGCUCAAUUCUAGGCCAAUGAGUUUAGAAGCGUUUGUGAUGGAGUUGGGAAUUUUUCCGGUAAGGUUAUUGGCCGCCAAGGUUAAAUACUCUAUGCUCGGAAGCGAGUGGCCAAUCGUUGAUGGUAAGUGGCCUGAAAGUUGAUUGCUAAUUAGAUUAAGGACUGUUAGGGUUGAAAUGUUGAAGAUUGUGGGUGGAAUGGGGCCACUUAAAUUAUUCGCACUAAGAACAAGGGUAUCCAAAUUUUGUAGAUUGCCAAUCUCAGUUGGAAUUUGACCUGUCAUAAAGAUAAACGCCAAAUUGAUGAGUUAUUGAGCUUUUUACUUAACAUAAAUUUUAAUUUCAUAACGCAUGAAAAUCAAAUUUGCCCACAAAAUGUGUGUUAUUAGUUUUAUAAUAUAUUUUUUUGGGUUUUUUUUGGGGGGGGGGGGNNNNNNNNNNNNNNNNNNNNNNNNNNNNNNNNNNNCAGCAGAUUGAUAUUGCUACCUCAUAAUUUUUGUAAAACCCCACCCGCUUUCAGAAAAUUAUUGGAACAAGAUUCUUAAAAAAAUUCAAAUAAAGAAGAAGUUUGGAGAAUUAAUCAAUUAAAUCCAUCUUAAUCUACUUUUUGAAACUUAUAUUCUUUUAUCAUAUAUAAUAACUAAGGUUGCUUUAACAUAAAUUUAAUAUAACUAGUCUACUCUCAUAAGGUAGAAUUACUAAAAUACCCACAAAUUUACUUCAACUUCAACUAAACUAACAAAAUGUAUUUGUUGACAUGUGGGGAACUAAAAAUUAUUGAAUUUUAUUUUAGAAAUAUUGUAUUACAAAACAUAAAACAAAAUGCCGAAACUAUAUAUUAGAUACAAUAGUACAUGUUUUUCGGGGUAAUUUGAUCAUUUUAUAUUAUAAGAGUAAAAUAGUCAAAUUAAACUUAUUUUUAAAGCAACCGUAAACGGCCAAAGAUUGUUAAAAGCCCUAAGUCAUAAAAGAAAAACAUUAUAAAAAUAAUUUAUUAAUUGUUCAGACUUAAUUUAUAAUUCUAUAACAUAAUGUGAACUUAUUAUAACUAUCUUAUCAAAAUGAGGUGGGUUUGCAAGAAUAAUGAGUGGAAAUAUCCCCAACCUAUAAAAUAAAAAGAAUUUUGCAGCUGAAUGUAUUUGGAAUAUGGCCUGAGAAUGAGUUAAAGCUCAAUUCUAGGCCAAUGAGUUUAGAAGCGUUUGUGAUGGAGUUGGGAAUUUUUCCGGUAAGGUUAUUGGCCGCCAAGGUUAAAUACUCUAUGCUCGGAAGCGAGUGGCCAAUCGUUGAUGGUAAGUGGCCUGAAAGUUGAUUGCUAAUUAGAUUAAGGACUGUUAGGGUUGAAAUGUUGAAGAUUGUGGGUGGAAUGGGGCCACUUAAA